This 468-nucleotide ribosomal RNA is filed under the name uncultured bacterium. Its description in RNAcentral is "partial 16S ribosomal RNA". It matches the Rfam family "Bacterial small subunit ribosomal RNA", at positions 28 to 507 of the family's 1533-position model. The record is from RNAcentral.
GACGAACGCUGGCGGCGUGCUUAACACAUGCAAGUCGAACGGAAAGGCCCUGCUUUUGUGGGGUGCUCGAGUGGCGAACGGGUGAGUAACACGUGAGUAACCUGCCCUUGACUUUGGGAUAACUUCAGGAAACUGGGGCUAAUACCGGAUAGGAGCUCCUGCUGCAUGGUGGGGGUUGGAAAGUUUCGGCGGUUGGGGAUGGACUCGCGGCUUAUCAGCUUGUUGGUGGGGUAGUGGCUUACCAAGGCUUUGACGGGUAGCCGGCCUGAGAGGGUGACCGGCCACAUUGGGACUGAGGUGCGGCCCAGAUUCCUACGGGAGGCAGCAGUGGGGAAUAUUGCACAAUGGGCGGAAGCCUGAUGCAGCAACGCCGCGUGCGGGAUAACGGCCUUCGGGUUGUAAACCGCUUUCGCCUGUGACGAAGCGUGAGUGACGGUAAUGGGUAAAGAAGCACCGGCUAACUACGUG